GCCGGACGCGGUGGCGCACGCCUGUAGUCCCAGCUAUUGGGAGGCUGAGACGGGAGGAUCGCUUUAGCCCAGGAGUUCUGGGCUGUAGUGCGCUAUGCCGAUCGGGUGUCCGCACUAAGUUCGGCAUCAAUAUGGUGACCUCCCGGGAGCGGGGGACCACCAGGUUGCCUAAGGAGGGGUGAACCGGCCCAGGUCGGAAACAGAGCAGGUCAAAACUCCCGUGCUGAUCAGUAGUGGGAUUGUGCCUGUGAAUAGCCACUGCACUCCAGCCUGGGCAACAUAGCAAGACCCCAUCUCU
This 298-nucleotide signal recognition particle RNA is filed under the name Propithecus coquereli (Coquerel's sifaka). RNAcentral describes it as "Metazoan signal recognition particle RNA (ENSPCOG00000001831.1)". It matches the Rfam family "Metazoan signal recognition particle RNA". From Rfam's summary of the family: The signal recognition particle (SRP) is a universally conserved ribonucleoprotein. It is involved in the co-translational targeting of proteins to membranes. The record is from RNAcentral. Lineage: Eukaryota; Metazoa; Chordata; Mammalia; Primates; Indriidae.